CUAAAUGCCUCCUUGCCUCUGUCUAAGGCAGGUGGUUAGGUUGCAAGCUUCAGCUAGGCAUCCGAGGCCUGCAUGGGAGAGGAGAAGGAUCAAGCUACUUUAUCUCCUUAUGGACAGAAGACACGUAGAUGUCCUGGAGUGCCGAUAAGUCAACUACUUCUGUCCUUUCUUUCCUUAGCCAAAGGAAACACUCCCUUCCCGAAUAGGGAUGAGGAGGAGAGGACGACGAAGAACCCAAUUGCAGUUUGUGAAGCAAGAGAGAGGCUCAGAGGAUGUCGGACCACAACAGUUAGAAGCUCGUGGCCUUCACUGCUAACCAACCACAAACAAACCAGUGAACACCCAUCCUGCUUUCACUCUGCAUUCUGUGCUGUGUGGAGGGAUUGUCUGCUGGCCCCUGGGAGGUGAAGUUCUGUGUUAGUCCUGGAGCACCUGCCUCCAUCCAUUGCUGGGGGUCGUUCUCUUGAUCAUCUCUUGGUGUGGCUGAGUGUUUCUACAAACAGAAACUCAUCGACAGACGUCCUCUGGUGCCCACUGACAAGCUAGCAGCAAACCCACCCAGCCUGCUGCUUUGUGGAUGCCGAUGGCAGUGUCCCUGAGUGCUUUUGGGGCACACCGCCUGUGUGUUAAAUAUCCUCUAAUAGGUAUACGUUUGAAACAUUUAAGAUUUUUUCAUUGGGGGAAAAAUAUCCUGGCAUUUAUGGUUGGGACACAAUUUCCUAAAACUGAAAUUGUUUGAAAUUCAGUUUACAAGAGAGUAUAUUUACAUAAAUGUGAAUGCCACCUCAGAUUUAAGAUCACCAAAGCAUAGAAUGACCUUGUGUUGCGGUGGAGGAGGUCUCUGUGAGUCCUGUUUUUACUCAGGCUGAGGGAGGUGGAGGGAGCUGUGCAAGGCUGUGCCUUGAUUAGUGCAGGAGCCGAGCCCAUGUCCACAAGGCUGCGCUCUGAGCCUUCAGCCUGCUCUGCCCAGCCAUCGGAGAGGCACCGUUCUGGGCUCCGUGUCUGCAGGCUCUGCUGAUUGACUUUUAGUGACAUGAGAGAGAGAGUCCUUCUGUCAAAGAAAUGGCAGGAUAGCUUUGAUGGCUGACGUAGAGUGAGUAGGACUCAGGCUCCACACUGGAAACCAGAGGUGGGAGGCUUCCCCGGGCGCUGUCAGCGUUGGUGCACGCAGAUGGAGGUCCUCUCUUGGGCUCCGUGAGCUUUCUAAAGCAGUGCCUCGUCUUCAGUAAGGGGUAUUUCAUGCUUCUUUCUCAUCUUUGUUUAUGUCCUGUUGCCAUCUUCUUGACCUGAGUUCUGUUUCUCCUUCGCUCAUACCUCAUGGAGAGGUCUGACAAGAAGACUGAACAGGAAGCAUUCUUUAAAAAAGAAAAAUAAUUCUGCUGUUCCAGCAUUAUUUUUCAUACUAUGCUAAUCAUUUUUUAAUACAUUGUGCAGAUGGUAGGUUGUAUUUUUGCGGAGUUUUUUUUUUCAAGCCAAGUUCAUAGACAUGAUCUUGAAUUUGUAAUGCUGUAUUCAUAAGUGUCUUUUUUGGUUGUCAAAAUAGUGCUGUCUUUAAAAAGUACAAUGUAGACACCCUGGGUAAGGCUGAUUAUUUCUGCUUUCUUUCUUUAUAAAAAAAAUAACUAUUUUUUUCCUUAUUACAAAAGUAACAUUUAUUGUAGAAAAUAGGAAAAGGGGAUAAAAGAAAAAAGAGGGACAAUAAAUUGCCCUCAAAAACAGCCGUCUCUUCUCACUCCCCCUUUUUUGGUCAUACAAUGAGCAACAUGAUACGAAUUCAUUCAGUUCCAUCUUAACUGUCUUGUGUCAGAGAGAGAGGGAACAAAAUAUCUGGCUUGGAGGAAGAUUAAUAGAAGGGUAAUCAUGUGGAGUUUGCAUGAUAGACGGAAAGGCCAGGGGUUUGGGGAACACAGAGGUCUGGAGUUCAAUUCAAGAAUUAAGUUAAGUUGUAUGUUCUUGGAAAGUUACUUGCCUGCCUUUUAACUGUCAGUUAGGCAAGUGGUUAUUUUGGGAGGUGUUCCGUGAGGAGCCUCAGGAGCUAGGGGUCCACCUAGACCACUGUGAUAGCACAGGCAGCGAUAGCUCUCCCCUUCUGAGCGCCCGCCGCCCGCAGAGCUAGUUCUCUGGCCAACUUUUGCUGUAAAGGGCCACCUAAUAAAUAUUUUAGGCUUUGUGGACCGAGGGCAGAAUCAAGCAUAUAAUGCGGGUACUUAUAUAACCAUUUAAAAAUGUACCCAUUUAAAAAUGUAAAAAGAUAUUCUUAGGUCGUGGGUCAUACGAAAACCAGCAGUGGGCCUGCUAAAAAAUGUCUUCUCAUAUUACUUGCAAUCGUCAUGACCCUGCCCAGGUAGCACACUUCUGAUAAAUGGUGGAGCCCAGAGCCCACCUCAGUGUGCACAUCCCCUCUUCUACCUGAAGGUUGGUCAUUGUAAUGAAUGUAAUCCCUGGGACCACAUUUACCUCGUUCUGCACCCUCAGCUUUGUGUCUUUCUCUUCCACCUCACUCCCUUCCUCCCCCUGAUCCCCAGUCCUUCUCUCUGCCCACCUUGCUCCCCCAGCCCUGCCCUCAUCCUUGACCCACCAAGCUCUCUUCCUCCUCAGGGCCUUUUCAUGGCUGCCUCUUCAUAGAAUGCCCUGCCCUGCGUGCUGGCUGACUCCUUUCCUUCAGGUCUCAGUUCAGUUGUUACCUCAUUUGGAGAAGCCUUGUUAAAAUCCUUGUCCUGGUGCUGUAGGCAUUCUAUCACAUCAUUCUUUCCUUUUCAGAUUCCUUCCUUCCUUCCCUCCCCUUCUUAGCAUCCCUCACAUUCUGUAAUUGUAUCGUGUUGUCUGUUUCCAUGUUUGUCUGCUUCUGCCCAGUAGAAUGGAAGCUCUUCCUCAAGGGCAGGGUCAGGACUUCUUCCUUUUCAUUGAUGCCUUCCCAGGGCCAGAAUAGUGUCUGGAACAUUCUAGGUGCUUGGUAAAUAUUUGACAGAUGUCUUAAUUUGUCUCACUAACUGUCCUUAUGUUUCAGAAAUCAGCUUAAAUUUUCAGUGUGGGCUUUCCUGAUUCCGCCUCACCCGGGUGGGUCUCUUAUGAUACCCUGUUAUUUUCCUUUGUAGCUAGAAGAGCCACCUAUUAUUUGGAAAGCCCAGCACCUGAGGAAGAGAGUCAGCGCCUCGCCUGUGGAAGGAGGUAUGAGGUGUGACUCUCAGGAACCACCAGUGGCCAGGAUCCCUCUGUGAGGUAGGGUCUCCUCCGCAGGGAGACACUGGCCUGCAGUCAUUACCUGACUCCAGGUGUUGCAGGAGCUCAGGGUAGUGCUUCUCAACCUUGCUGUGCUUAAGAGACACCUGGGGUCUUGGGCAGGUUCUGAUUUAAAUAAUCUGGGCUGGGACCAAGAUUCUGAAUUUCUGACCUGCUUUUAGGUGCUGCUGAGAGCUUCUGCUCAGCACACCACUCACAGUAACAAAGGCCCGGGUCAGGGUUUCUCAGCCUUGGCACUGUUGACACUUUGGGUCACAUUAUUCUUUGUUGUGGGGGCUGUCAAGUGUGUUGUAAGAUGCCUAGUACCAUUCCUGGCCUCUACUCACCUGGUGCCAGCAGUGCUCCUCCAGGUGUGAAAGAACCAGAAAUGUCUUCAGCCAUUGCAGAUAUCCAGGGAAUGGGGGUGUGGGGCAAAAUCAUCUCCAAUUGAGAACCACUGGCCUAGAUGCUUCUCUGCCCUUAGUUUGUUUUUCAAUGAUUCUUUGGAUUCUCUGAGCCAAUGAAUUUCCCUUUUGCUUAAGCUAGUUUAGUUAAAUAUUUAUGAACUUUUAAUUAAAUCUGACAAUUUACAUACAUGUAAGUAUGUAGUUAUGUAUGUGGUUUUACAUAUAUUGCCUGUGUACUCCACCAAGCUCUGUAAGUGUACAUGCCAUGUAUGUUUAUUUUAAUACUUAGCCUGGGGUCCAAUCUGUGGGAGGUAGUGGAUAAAUGCCAACUGAAUGAAUGAAAUUCUAUAAGGGAUGGUGUAUACAUGCUUUUUCCUUUCCUUUUGAGCUCUAUGAUCUUUUUCAGAAAUAUUUUAUUGAAGUAUAUCUACCCUAAAAAGUACACAUAAGUAUACAGCUUGAUGAAUUUUCACACAUUGAACACUCGUGUGUUAUAGGCCCCCAGAUCAGCAACAGAACAUGCUCAGCAUCCCAGAAGCAUCUCCUUAUGCUCCCUUCUACUCUAAUCUUUUAAAAAUUUCUUCCUUUUUAAUAAUGAAAAGGAAUCCUUGUUCGCUCUUGAAAAUUUUAAAAGUACAGAGAAGCAAAAGGAGAAAAACAUCAUACUCUCUUUGAGUGCAUAAAUUUUAACAUUUUGUGCAUCCUUUCAGUGUUUUCAGUGCCUAUAUGUGCACAUAAAUGUGUUGCUUGAACUAAAAUGGGGUCAGUAGAAUCAGAUUCUACUCUAUAAUAUGAAUCAGAUUCAUAUUAUACUGUCUAGCUUUUCUCACUUCAUACCACAUUGUGAACGUAUCUCCCUGUGAAUAAAUGCACAUCUAAUCCAUUGUUGUAAUGGUGAUGGGGAAUUCCGUUGAAUGGAUAUACCACAAUUUACUUAACCCAUCCCUUUUUCUUGGUCAUCUCUUAGAAAGUUGAAUAUUUAGAUGGUUCCCAUUUUCACUCUUAUAAACACUCUUCCA
Molecule: long non-coding RNA, 4645 nt
Filed under: Equus caballus (horse)
Lineage: Eukaryota; Metazoa; Chordata; Mammalia; Perissodactyla; Equidae
Description: lncRNA (ENSECAG00000046566.1)
Source: RNAcentral